This 527-nucleotide long non-coding RNA is filed under the name Taeniopygia guttata (zebra finch). RNAcentral's name for it is "lncRNA (ENSTGUG00000022205.1)". Lineage: Eukaryota; Metazoa; Chordata; Aves; Passeriformes; Estrildidae. The record is from RNAcentral.
GGAACAUGAAGUGGGGCUCCAUUUCCCUCCUGCCCAUCCCUGCUCACCCCUUCUCUUCCCUGCUGCAUCUUGAACCCGAAGUGAUCCUCAGAUCUAUCUUGUCUCAGCCUGAGCUGCGUUUUGGCAGCAAUGUGUAUAUGUAGCAGAUGCAAAUUGCCUCUAAUUAGGGGUAGAACGCAGGACUGGAUUAAUGAUUUGUGGAUUCUUGCCACACUCUUAACAACCUUACCAACACCCUUUGGGCUGUAAUCGUGUAGGAAGAAUCCACCCAAGUGCAGCCUCAUUUGUGAUGCCCUGUCUGGGGAGAGCUUCCUCUCCCUGCCCCUGGCCCAGGUCAUCAGCAGGCACCACCAGCAGCGCAGAAUUUGGCAAGCCAGGACGUGCUCCUGAGAUCACUUGUGAAAAUGGCUCUGUGAGUGCCAUGUACAGAAUUCUGGAAGCGAGGUAGGAGGAGGAACAGGAUAAAAAAGGCUUUUCCUCCCCUGGUGCUGUCUGGGCAGGCACUGCCCCUCAGCCCUGGAGUCCCU